UUUCCGUAGGUGAACCUGCGGAAGGAUCAUUACCGAGUCAUUGAACCCCACACUUUGUGGGGCCAAUCUCCAACCCAAUGCUUACCCUGCACCUUUGUUGCCUUGGCAUGCGAGCCAGUCUGCGCCAGUGGUCGCGUGCACGCAUGCCAGUGGAUCCUACCAAACUCGUCAACUCUGUCGUAUGGUUAUCAAAUACUAUAAAACUUUCAACAACGGAUCUCUUGGUUCUAGCAUCGAUGAAGAACGCAGC
RNAcentral lists this unclassified non-coding RNA (250 nucleotides) under uncultured fungus. RNAcentral describes it as "sequence contains ITS1, 5.8S rRNA gene". The stretch from base 202 to 250 matches the Rfam family "5.8S ribosomal RNA", at positions 1 to 49 of the family's 154-position model. The record is from RNAcentral. Lineage: Eukaryota; Fungi.